UAGGGAAUCUUCGGCAAUGGACGAAAGUCUGACCGAGCAACGCCGCGUGAGUGAAGAAGGUUUUCGGAUCGUAAAACUCUGUUGUUAGAGAAGAACAAGGACGUUAGUAACUGAACGUCCCCUGACGGUAUCUAACCAGAAAGCCACGGCUAACUACGUGCCAGCAGCCGCGGUAAUACGUAGGUGGCAAGCGUUGUCCGGAUUUAUUGGGCGUAAAGCGAGCGCAGGCGGUUUCUUAAGUCUGAUGUGAAAGCCCCCGGCUCAACCGUGGAGGGUCAUUGGAAACUGGGAGACUUGAGUGCAGAAGAGGAGAGUGGAAUUCCAUGUGUAGCGGCGAAAUGCGUAGAUAUAUGGAGGAACACCAGUGGCGAAGGCGGCUCUCUGGUCUGUAACUGACGCUGAGGCUCGAAAGCGUGGGGAGCAAACAGG
Molecule: ribosomal RNA, 429 nt
Filed under: Gemmatimonadota bacterium
Lineage: Bacteria; Pseudomonadati; Gemmatimonadota
Description: Gemmatimonadetes bacterium partial 16S ribosomal RNA
Rfam family: Bacterial small subunit ribosomal RNA
Source: RNAcentral